AGGAUAUUGCCGGUUUAUUUUUUUCAAAUCUUCCUCAAAUUUUACAUGUGUCGCUUGAAAUAAGUGUUCAAAAACUUCUCCCAGCUCGUUUUCUAAAACCUUAAUUCCUUCACCAGUAAUUCCGCCUUUUACACACACUUUCUCUUGUAAUGUUUGCAAAGAAUAAUGUCUUUUUCUUAAUAACUCUCCUAAACCG
RNAcentral lists this non-coding RNA (196 nucleotides) under Bacillus methanolicus MGA3. The record is from RNAcentral. Lineage: Bacteria; Bacillati; Bacillota; Bacilli; Caryophanales; Bacillaceae.